GAGGCACUCGGAGAUGGUGGUGGCCUGCCGGAGCAGGUGGUCGCAGAGCGGGCACGUCAAGCAGCGCGUGAGCAGCUCCCGCUUCACCAUGGCCACGGCGCUGUCCCCCGCCGCACCGCCUCGCCGGCACCGCUGCCGCCUGCCUCUCCUCCCCUCAUGCUCCGAUUCCCAGUCAUCCUCGUCGUCGCCGCCCACCUUCGCCGCCGCCUCCUCAUUCGCCCGCGCCCCCUCUUCCACCUUGUCCUCGGCCUCCGGCUCAACAGCCGGCGGCGAUGCGGUCCCGGUGGUCUCACUGGUUUGCAUGGCGUGGGGCCCAGCCACGAAGCUAGUUCCCCAUGCCGGCGAUGGGCGAAACAAAGGCGCCUCCUAUUAUUGCGCCGACGCCUCCCCUCCGGUUGGAAAUGGGAAAGAUCGAAGCGCACGACGACGCCGAGGCGGAGUUGGAGAAGAGAGUCGAAGCAGAGGAG
Molecule: unclassified non-coding RNA, 467 nt
Filed under: Zea mays
Lineage: Eukaryota; Viridiplantae; Streptophyta; Magnoliopsida; Poales; Poaceae
Description: misc RNA Zm00001eb135480
Source: RNAcentral